UACAGAGGAUGCAAGCGUUAUCCGGAAUGAUUGGGCGUAAAGCGUCUGUAGGUGGCUUUUUAAGUCCGCCGUCAAAUCCCAGGGCUCAACUCUGGACAGGCGGUGGAAACUACCAAGCUGGAGUACGGUAGGGGCAGAGGGAAUUUCCGGUGUAGCGGUGAAAUGCGUAGAUAUCGGAAGGAACACCUGUGGCGAAAGCGGCUCACUGGACCAUUACUGACGCUGAUGCACGAAAGCGUGGGGAGCAAACAGG
This 253-nucleotide ribosomal RNA is filed under the name uncultured bacterium. Its description in RNAcentral is "partial 16S ribosomal RNA". It matches the Rfam family "Bacterial small subunit ribosomal RNA", at positions 524 to 776 of the family's 1533-position model. The record is from RNAcentral.